This 284-nucleotide unclassified non-coding RNA is filed under the name Hevea brasiliensis (rubber tree). Lineage: Eukaryota; Viridiplantae; Streptophyta; Magnoliopsida; Malpighiales; Euphorbiaceae. The record is from RNAcentral.
UUUUUAAAUCAAACCAAAUAUCUUUUAAAAACAACCCUCCAUAGUCAAAAGAAUUUCUUGUUCAUUUGCUUCUAAAUAGGGAAAAAAAAGAAGAAGCAUUUUAAGAAAAAUUGGUGAAGUUUUGGACUGCUAGAGUAAUAUACUUUUUUUUAGAUGGGUUUAGGAAGUUGUCUUAUAUUUUUCUUUUGAUUUUGGGAUUGACUUUUGAAUUUUUUUUUUUUAAUUGAUUUUACAUUUGUUGAGGGAAAGAGAGCAGAAAACAGGGGGAGGGAGAGAGAGAGAGA